This is an RNA transcript of Lotus japonicus, 3026 nucleotides long. RefSeq lists it as uncharacterized. The transcript is spliced from 4 exons. The record is from RefSeq and is a predicted model, not a curated record. Lineage: Eukaryota; Viridiplantae; Streptophyta; Magnoliopsida; Fabales; Fabaceae.
CAUCAUCCACUACAAUUGCUCUCUGCUCUGAUCCUAUCUAGCAUUUAAAAAUCUUUUCUCUCUGUUCAACAUGAUCCACAAGUAUCCACUACAAUUGCUCAUAUUCUUCAUGGUUCUUUCAUCUGAUGCUCUCCAAACAAGGGGAAGCCUUUUGUCAAUGGAUGAAAAAUCAUCAAUGCAAAAAUAUACAAUAGUUCAGGGUGCUGUGGAAUUUAGAACUGGGGAAGAAAUGUUUGACACGGUAGAAGAAUUCAUGGUAAAGGAAAGAAUUAAUUUGGAAACUGAAGACUACCCAGGGACGGGAGCAAACAACCACCAUGACCCAAAGACACCAGGAAGAGUUUGAAUGAUAUAUACAUAACUAGUUUAAGAUUAAGACCUAUGAAAAUGUCAUAUUAAAUCUCGGCAGAGGACAUGACUAUUCUCAGUCUUACAAAUUACAAUAUGCCUCUAUAUAUCCAUUCCCUAUUUGUACUGAUGCAUGUGCUUAUCUGUAGAUUGUAGACUAUUACGGGAUGCGUGUGCUAAUGUUAUCAAAGAUAGUUUUAUUAGUUUGGUUGCACGCCAAAAAUAAGAAAAAUUAUGAUAUUUUUACACCUUCAAAGUGGGAAUUUCGCUAAGAAAAAUGAGGUUAUAUGGUAAGGGAAUACCAAAUCCGAGUAUAGCAAAGUUGCAAGACUGCAGAAUUGAGACACUCCUAUGUGGAAGGUAGGGACGGAUCCGCCUUAUGCAAAUGGGGGUAAUUACCCCCAAAAUAUUUUUAUAUAUUAUACUAUUAUUGUAAUAUCUUCGCCGAUUGAAGAGAGAUUGAUUGAGGUUAAAAAUUGCUUUUGUAAUUUUGGAGCCAAGGGUUCUUGUGCAGGCUCUCUUAUUGGAGAUCUCCUUUAGGGGUUUUAGAGAUCUCAAUCAAGAGAAUGAAGGUUGUUCUGAAGACAAUGACCUCACAAAGGAGGGACUCGAUUCAGUCGUAUGCGACGCUUGGGAAGUGAUCAGUGGCGGAACUAGGAUAUAAAAUUUGAGGGGGCCAAAAUAAAUAAGAUUCCAAUUCAUGUACGUAUGCAUAUGUAUAUCUAUCUAUCUAUCUAUAUCUAUCUAUCUAUCUAUCUAUCUAUAAAGGGAGAGUUUGUGUAGCCUUGAGGGCAACUUAGUCAUUUAAUAUUUAAUUGUACACAACUCUCAAAUUAAUUAAGCAAGGAUAGUUUUGUAAGAAUGGAAAUAAUUUUCACAUAUUGAAUCACAGCCGCCGUUGGUUUCCUUAUCAUCUUAGCUGUCUUUUACACUCCCAAAUCACUUACGUUUAGCUUUCCAAUAAGGCAAUAACAUUUCGUUACUCUUUUCCGUUUCGAAACGUAUCUUAUAUUCACCGCUCUGCUCCUUCGGGAUUCACCAUAUCACAGUCUCAUUCCACUAUGCAUUCUCUCAAUUUGAUGUUUCAGUCUUCGAUUCAAUGACAGCAAAAAAAGAAUGGGAUAUCCAAAUGACACCAGAUUUUGUGUCGUCGCCUUUGAUAUCUUUGAUCCACCGCUGUUGAUCACUAGGUUAAAUGCAAAGUUGGAUUUCUUUCUCGGCCAUGAGUUUAUUGUUGUCCGUUGGAUUUCUACUCGUCUCUGCUGCUAUGUGCAUUGCCGCCUCCGCCUUGGAAUUCCUGCUUCGUCGCCGCUGCUUGCUGGGUUUCUUUCUCGAUUUAUCGGCCUUGGUUUAUUGUUGUUCGUUGGAUUUCUUUGCCUCUGUUUUGCUGAUAAACCUCCUUGAUUUUUCAAUUUAUUAUUCAAUCUAUUGGUUCAGUGAGAAAAUAACUCAUUUUGUUAAUACUGAGGUAAGCCCUAUUUUGUUUAUGCGCGGGUUUUUGUUAGUGGUGUGGUGUGUAGCAACCAAUUCCCCAAUUACACUACUACAAUCUCUUCUUUAACUUUUUAAAUUUUGAAACAGUUUUUCACUGGGCUCAAGAAAUAGAUUCAGGUUUAUCUAAUCACAAUAUCAACAACCAAUCAUUCAAGUUUACCUCUUUUACAAUGUCAAAUGGUUUCUGACGUUAAUUUACAAGAAACAUCCCUUUAUAUUGUCUUGGUGACAAAAUUAUGUAUUUCUAACAUAUAUUGUAACAUUUUAAUGAUUAUGGUGACUCUUCAUUCAUUUUUCUUUCUUAAUUUUCAUCCUUUUUUCAAUGGAACAGAUGUUGAAAAUGAGAGGGAGCGGGAGCAUCUUGGGCUUACGGGGACACGGUUCCAAGGACAGGACUGGAUCCCAUCAUCAUGUCUCCAAAGAAUGUCAAAGAUUUUGGCUUGGACUCAAUGCAAGCUGACAAUUCAAACUGGCCUUCAAGAUUUAAGGAUCUGCAAAAAAACAUAUCGUUGAUGCUUGCAAUGGUUUCUCCAUCACCUAUUUAUAUGGAGGUAGAGUUGGGAAGACUAUCAUAUCUUAACCAAACUUUCUGACAAGACAAUUAGACCGUGGAUUGUGGAAGAUGGACGAAGCCAGAACCAUGAGUCAAGGGCAUCUCAAGUAUUGAGGUUUUGUGAUUCAACUUUCGAUUUAUUGGUAAAACAACUUCUUUCUUAUACAAAAGUACAUGGUAUAAGCACUUGAUAUUGCGUAAUUAGGCAUCUCUAGGUGUACAUUUGACUUGAUAAUACUGUUGAAGUUUGAGCACAGGCAAGAUUGAGUCUGACUUCAACCCAUUUAAAAUUGAGUUUCUUUUAUAUUUUUAUUUGAGGCUGCCUUCAAUCCAUAUAAAACUCUAUAAUGGCAUCUCAACAUUUUCUUGCGAUGGUGCAGUUUCACAGAGGGGGUUAGAUUAAUGGAAACAGUGGCGGGAAAGGCUAAGCUCUGCAAACAGACGGGGUUAUUUGCUGCUCUACCAUUUUAGUUUGAGCAUUCUUUCUGUUUCUAUCUCAAAUAAAUCUUUUACAUGCUAGCAACUUCUAAUAAAUUUCAAUUGCUGUAACUUAAUUGAUUCUAAUUUAGCUGUUUUUAUUUUCAAAUAUAUAAUUACUUUUGAAUAUUCUGUACCAUAUAUAUUUCCAUAA